Non-coding RNA from Amoeboaphelidium occidentale, 71 nucleotides. The record is from the annotation of a GenBank genome assembly. Lineage: Eukaryota; Fungi; Aphelidiomycota; Aphelidea.
AGGUGAGUGGUGUAAUGGUAACACAUUAUCCUCUAAAGAUAAGAUUAAGGGUUCGAAUCCUUUCUCACCUG